UGAGGGCGUGUGCCUGUGUUUGGCAGAACAACACUGGGCAAAUAUAGCAAGUAUGAGUCACACAAACGCUUCGGUCGUAGCAUAACAAAUUUUAACGAUGGUAGCGGGAAUUCUCCUCCUCCACCCCAUUUAUCGCAUACCCAAACAACCUCUUCGAUACCACCGUUCUUCUACCCCUAUUUUCCCGCGCCUUUUCAUCAUCAACGCCUCCGUUUCCGACUCUUCACAGUCGGAGGGAUAUAAAGGUCCGAAACCGAGCCGGAAUUUGGUCGCUGAUUGGGUUUCUAACAACGACAGUGCCGCCCGUAGCUUGCCUAUUUAUGUCGGCGGUUUCUCUCUCUUCGCUGUCCUCUUCAAUCGCGCUGUUUCUGGCAUUGCUCCUGUCGCCGACGCCGGUAGCUCACAGUCUAGGGCAGAUCUGUUGGCUCUCGGAUUGGCUGUUACAAAUAUCUUAGCUGGUCUUGUAUGGCUUUCAAUUCGACCCAAGUCAAUCUCUAAGGUGGAUCCUGAAGGUGUGGAGUGUCACUGGAUUUCUCCUGGAUUACCUGAUUCUGAUGUUUCUGAGUUGGAAUGGUUCUGGGAAUCUCUCUCAGCUGUCACGUGCUGCAGAUCUCUGGUCAUUAUCUAUGAGAGUAGUUGUAUCUGUCAAAUUGGCAUGACAGCUGAGUCAUCUAUCAUUGGUGAAGCAGAGACUGUUGACGCCACAAAAUUGAUUCAGGGCACACUUUAUAGAGGCAUUAUGAAUUCUCGAGCACAGAGCUAUUUGGCUAAUCUCUCUCUGUACCCAGGAAAAUCUGAAUUGCCAUUUUUGCCACCAAAUACACAGGCCGUCAUCCUGCAGCCACUUGGUAACAAGGGAAUUGCAAUUAUAGGAGGUGAUACAAUAAGGGGGUUUUCCACUGCUGACCAGAAUCAUUACUAGAUGGUGAUUGUGGAUAGCUUUGUUGCUAAAUAAUACAGUUAGAGCAAACUUAUCUCAAUGUUGCACGAAUUGAACAUUUCCCCGUUGUGGAACCCACUGUCCUAGAAGAAAACCGAAGAGUAUUUGUUAGAGAAGAUACCUACAAACUUGCGAUGGCAGAGUCAUUAACAAGUGGUGAUUGUGGAUAGCUUUGUUGCGUAAUAAUGCAUUAGUACAAACUUAUCUCAAUGUUGAGUAGACGAAUAACAAUUGCCGCGUCGAGGAACACCACUGUCCUAAAAGAACAACGAAGAGAGAACUUCCAACAAGCUUCACACAAAUAAGGAUAAAAGAAUGGCAGAUUUGUUACUAAGUGAUGGCUUUAGACACUUGACACAAAUGAGGGAUGAUACACACAUAUUUGAGAGUGAUUAAGUUCUUCGGACCUGAUGGCUGAUUUCCCCUAAUUUGAACUUAUUGGCGCAUACCUGAACUUAUUUUUGGUUGUGAUAUGAUCUUUACAGCCCUUAUAGGAACUUAUUUAAACUUUUUUCCGAGACUUGAUCUUGUAAGGUGAAAAGAACAAGGCCUUGGUCUCCUCUUGAAAGCGUGUUUUGGUUAUCCUGGACUAACAGAGGGGCGUUUCUGGGUUUACCUGGACUAAAAGGGGACCUUUGAGGCAUAUAUAUUGAUCAGAUAUGGUUUUUAUUCACUCUAAUACAGAAAAGGAAAAAACAAAUUGUUCAUUUUAUAAAAAUUCUUACACUUGGUUAUAAAUGAGCUACAAUAAAAUGGAGUGUUUCAUCAGGAAACUAUUUAGAAGACGAGUAUGAAGAAUGCAGAGAUGACAGGUUUUCAAGAAGGCAAUCAUGCACAGUAUAGAGCUGGAAACAGUCAGUGUAUCUCUUAGACAUGUAAUGAGUAUUUAAUGUUUGGGCAUUUGUAUGCGUCAUUUUGGUGUUUGUAUGUAGGCAUUGUGUAUAAGACGAAUUGGUAGGGACUAGGGAAGGCUAGUGACACCAUGACCGGUGAUGAGGGGGAUGGUUAAUUUUAGUGGGCAAUGGUUUUUGGGACAGGAGAAUAUGGCUUUUGGGAGGAUUGGUGUAUUUUUCUUUUUGCCUCUAAUUUCAUACGGAGUAGCCUCUUUUCUAUUUCCUUUAAAAAGUGAACCAAUUCUUAUAUUGAGCUAGUGGUAAAAACAUAAAUGUUCUACCCAAGAAGUUGUGGAUUAAGGUAGUGGUAGGGUUCCAUCCAUCUUAUUGUUUAUUGAAAUGUAAGGUAAUGGACGUUGGUAGAUAAAAAGAUUUCUAGCCAUUUUAAAAUAAUACUAUAAAAAUUCUUUGAACUGGAAUCUUAAUUAGAUAUGGAGUAAAACAUUUUAGGAUGACCCAUGAAUCCUGAUGUGCAAUUCAUGGGAAUACUUCUGCAAAGCUUUUUUCAGUUUCUUUUUUUUUUCCCUUUUUUUUUCUUUUUUUCUUUUUUUGCAAUGCUCUAGUUUCUCUUCUUUCACAUUUCUGAGUUAUCAAUAG
RNA transcript from Spinacia oleracea (spinach), 2430 nucleotides. It is a transcript of the gene named protein COFACTOR ASSEMBLY OF COMPLEX C SUBUNIT B CCB4, chloroplastic, with no coding region annotated. NCBI's taxonomy places the organism in Eukaryota, Viridiplantae, Streptophyta, Magnoliopsida, Caryophyllales, Amaranthaceae. The record is from RefSeq and is a predicted model, not a curated record. The transcript has 9 exons.